RNA transcript from Quercus robur (English oak), 2299 nucleotides. It is a transcript of the gene named protein SLOW WALKER 1-like, with no coding region annotated. The transcript has 3 exons. Lineage: Eukaryota; Viridiplantae; Streptophyta; Magnoliopsida; Fagales; Fagaceae. The record is from RefSeq and is a predicted model, not a curated record.
AAACGGUGACGUAUCAAUUCUCAGCCUAAAACCCCACAACCAACACGAUACACACAACACAUAUUCGGUGUUCCUUGUCUAAAACCCUAAACUUCCAAAAUUUAGAGCUUUCACUUUGCACAACCUGCUUCCAUGGCGGAACCAAAUUCAACCUUCAAACCCAUCAAACCGAAGCUCAAACCCAAACCCAGAACCCCAAACCAAACCCCAGAAUCAAAGUACUGGUCCUCCUUCAAAACCCACCAAAUCCCAGACCUCAUCUCCUCCAUCACUUCCCUCACUUUCUCUCCUUCGCCUCCUCACCCCUUCGCCGCUACUCACUCCACUUCACUCAAAAUCUUCAAUCCCCAAACCCUCUCUCCUUCCUCCACCAUCUCCUCCUUCUCCGACGUCGUUUCCUCCGCCUCGUUCCGCUGUGACGGCCUCUUGAUCGCCGCGUCUGACCUCUCGGGUCUAAUCCAAGUGUUCGAUGUCAAAACGCGGACCCCACUUCGUAAACUCAGGUCCCACACACGCCCAGUACGUUUUCUCAAAUACCCACUUCAUGAUAAGCUCCAUUUGGUCUCUGGUGGCGAUGAUGCUGUUGUUAAGUACUGGGAUGUUGCUUCUGAGACUCCACUUUUAGAGCUUUUGGGUCAUAAGGACUAUGUGCGUUGUGGUGAUUUUUCACCUGUUAGUCAUGAAAUGUGUGUCACUGGGUCUUAUGAUCAUACGGUUAAGCUUUGGGAUGUGAGAGUGACUGGUUCGAAAACAGUUAUGGAGGUUAACCAUGGAAAACCAGUUGAAAGUGUCGUUUUUUUGCCAUCCGGGGGGUUAGUUGCUACUGCAGGUGGGAAUUCGGUUAAGAUCUGGGAUUUUAUUGGAGGUGGGAAGAUGGUUUAUUCGAUGGAGAGUCAUACCAAGACGGUUACUUCAGUUUGUGUAGGGAGAGUUGGGAAGGAGAAUGUUGAGGAAGGGAGGGAGCAUAGGGUUUUGAGUGUGGGAUUGGAUGGGUAUAUGAAGGUGUUCGAUUAUGGGAGGAUGAAGGUCACACAUUCUAUGAGGUUCCCUGCACCACUUAUGUCAAUUGGGUUUUCACCAGAUUGUGGGGUGAGAGUGAUUGGGAGUUCGAAUGGGGUAAUGUAUGUUGGGAAGAGAAAAACGAAGGAGGAGAAUGUGGAGAGUGGUUUGAGAAGCUUUUGGAGUUUAGGUGUGGAGCAGGAGAGAAGGGUUAUGAGGCCUUCAUAUUUUCGGUAUUUUCAUAGAGGGCAGGGUGAUAAGCCUAAGGAGGGGGAUUAUUUGGUUAUGAGGCCAAAGAAGGUAAAGUUGGCAGAGCAUGAUAAGUUGUUGAAGAAGUUUAGGCACAAGGAGGCACUGGUGUCAGUGUUGGGCAAUAAGAAUCCGGAGAAUGUGGUGGCGGUGAUGGAGGAAUUGGUGGCAAGGAGGAAAUUGUUGAAGUGUGUUGAGAAUCUGGAUAAUGAGGAGCUUGGCUUGCUGUUGAUGUUCUUACAAAAGUAUUCUACAGUGCCAAGAUUCUCAGGUUUGUUGAUGGGAUUGACGAAGAAGGUUCUUGAAAUGCGGGUUGAAGAUAUCAGAGGUUCUGAGGCCUUGAAGGGUCAAAUUAGAAACCUUAAGCGGUCUGUUGAGGAGGAGAUACGGAUACAACAUUCUUUGCAAGAGCUACAGGGUAUCAUUUCUCCUUUAUUGAGGAUUGCUGGAAGGGGAUGAACCUUUAUUGCCUUUUUGGUUUUUUAUGAGCUCGAAGGAGAGACCCACUCUUGGGAUAAAAUAUUAGCCUUUGCUGCCCAAAAGUUCAAUAUAUCUUGCCAGAAAAUGUUUUGAAGCAUUCCAUGAUUUAUAUUGUUUUUGUGAGUUAAAAGAUAGAAAACUUGUACUGAUAUGUUGAAAGAAUUUGUAAGACAAUCAGACGAAACAGAGAAACACAACUCAAGAAAGAGCAUAGCAGCUAAGAAACAUUACAUAACAGUGUUGCAGAAAGAAAAGCUUGACAUAAAAACUGCUAAGAAUAUGAAGUGUUGUACUCUGCCAGGAAAAUAGUAGCUCUAUCAAAGAUGGUCUUCGGUUGAAACUGAAUUUUUUCAAAGUAGAACUUGUUACAAGCAUUCCAUGAUGUAUUGAAGCAAUAUCUUGUUGUCAAUAGGCUAAUUUUCAAUAUCAUUGAAACAUUGAAUGUAUUUUCUAAUUUUGACUCUUAAGGUAGUUUCAUUGUUCAUUUACAAAAACUUUUACAAGGAUUUAGAGUACAAACCAAGAAGAAUGUAAUAAAAUUUAGUUUUUAUUUUAUUUUAUUUUUUAUAUU